RNAcentral lists this ribosomal RNA (161 nucleotides) under Bornmuellera cappadocica. RNAcentral's name for it is "5.8S ribosomal RNA". It matches the Rfam family "5.8S ribosomal RNA". From Rfam's summary of the family: 5.8S ribosomal RNA (5.8S rRNA) is a component of the large subunit of the eukaryotic ribosome. It is transcribed by RNA polymerase I as part of the 45S precursor that also contains 18S and 28S rRNA. Lineage: Eukaryota; Viridiplantae; Streptophyta; Magnoliopsida; Brassicales; Brassicaceae. The record is from RNAcentral.
AAACGACUCUCGACAACGGAUAUCUCGGCUCUCGCAUCGAUGAAGAACGUAGCGAAAUGCGAUACUUGGUGUGAAUUGCAGAAUCCCGUGAACCAUCGAGUCUUUGAACGCAAGUUGCGCCCCAAGCCUUCUGGCCGAGGGCACGUCUGCCUGGGUGUCAC